RNAcentral lists this ribosomal RNA (584 nucleotides) under uncultured bacterium. RNAcentral's name for it is "partial 16S ribosomal RNA". It matches the Rfam family "Bacterial small subunit ribosomal RNA", at positions 355 to 1375 of the family's 1533-position model. The record is from RNAcentral.
UGGGGAAUUUUGGACAAUGGGCGAAAGCCUGAUCCAGCAAUGCCGCGUGUGUGAAGAAGGCCUUCGGGUUGUAAAGCACUUUUGUCCGGAAAGAAAUCCUUGGCUCUAAUACGGUCGGGGGAUGACGGUACCGGAAGAAUAAGCACCGGCUAACUACGUGCCAGCAGCCGCGGUAAUACGUAGGGUGCAAGCGUUAAUCGGAAUUACUGGGCGUAAAGCGUGCGCAGGCGGUUUGCUAAGACCGAUGUGAAAUCCCCGGGCUCAACCUGGGAACUGCAUUGGUGACUGGCAGGCUAGAGUACGGCAGAGGGGGGUAGAAUUCCACGUGUAGCAGUGAAAUGCGUAGAGAUGUGGAGGAAUACCGAUGGCGAAGGCAGCCCCCUGGGCCAAUACUGACGCUCAUGCACGAAAGCGUGGGGAGCAAACAGGAUUAGAUACCCUGGUAGUCCACGCCCUAAACGAUGUCAACUAGUUGUUGGGGAUUCAUUCCUUAGUAACGUAGCUAACGCGUGAAGUUGACCGCCUGGGGAGUACGGUCGCAAGAUUAAAACUCAAAUGAAUUGACGGGGUCAUAGCUGUUUCCU